Small nuclear RNA from Pongo abelii (Sumatran orangutan), 136 nucleotides. Its record names the gene U4. It matches the Rfam family "U4 spliceosomal RNA". Rfam says of the family: U4 small nuclear RNA (U4 snRNA) is a component of the major U2-dependent spliceosome. The record is from Ensembl. Lineage: Eukaryota; Metazoa; Chordata; Mammalia; Primates; Hominidae.
AGCUUUGUACAGUGGAAAUACGGUAGCCAAUGAGGUUUAUCCUAGGUUAUUGCUAAUUGAAAACUUUCUCCAAUAUCCUGCCAUGACAACUUGCAAGAUAGUCAGCAUUGCCAAUUUUUGACAGUCACUAUGGAGA